This 98-nucleotide non-coding RNA is filed under the name Enterococcus asini. Its description in RNAcentral is "TPP sequence". It matches the Rfam family "TPP riboswitch aptamer (THI element)". Rfam says of the family: Vitamin B(1) in its active form thiamin pyrophosphate (TPP) is an essential coenzyme that is synthesised by coupling of pyrimidine and thiazole moieties in bacteria. The record is from RNAcentral. Lineage: Bacteria; Bacillati; Bacillota; Bacilli; Lactobacillales; Enterococcaceae. RNAcentral also lists the same sequence under 1 other name.
AUAUGUUUGCAGGGGGACGCAUUGGCGUUGAGAAGGUAAAACCUGACCCUUUGAACCUGUUGGCUAAAACCAGCGUAGGGAGCAACGUCUUGAAGCAC